GAAGAAGAAAAAUAAGCUCUUAAACUGGACACAAUGGCACAUACAUGUCUGUAAUCCCAGUGACUCAGAAGGAUGAAGCAGGAGGAUUGCAAGUUUAAGGCUAGCCUCAGCAACUUAGUGAGACCUUGUCUCAAAAUAAAAAGGGCUGGGAAUGUAGCUAAGUGGUAGAGUGCCCCUGUGCUCAAUCCCCAGUAUCCACCCGCCAAGAAAAAAAUACCUCUUAAACUUUUCUUUUAUAAAUUGGAAAACUUUAAUCAGUUCCCUGAAAUCUCAGUGGGCUCCUGGUGCACCAUCUGCCUGGCCUCUGUUCUGUGCUGACCCAAAGCAUGGGGGCUGGCUGCCCACCCUCCUCCUGCACACACACACACACACACACACACACACACUCGGAACUCAUUGUUACUAACUUUGAAUGGAAGCUUUUAGCUGCUCUAUUCUUCUUGGGUUCAUUGAAGGCUUGUCAAUGGAAUGGGAAUUACAACCCUGGCAGCUGCUAUCUGUAUCCGUUGUCUGGCUGGCUGGUGUGUUACUGGUUAUAUGUCCCAGAGAAUUAAUCCCCUAAAUGUGGAUGGCGAAUGAUGAAAACCUAGCACAUAAAUAAGGAAGCAAGCAGCUAUCUGCUGACAAACCUCAGGAAGCAAUUGUCUAGUCCCAAUGCAUUAUAUGCAAUGCUCCUAAACUCCAGGGCCCGUCAUCCACAGGACAGAUAGACUUCAUUCAUUCAUUCAUUCAGUGGACAUAUGAGGAACGGAGCACUUAUUCCCUGUCAAUGUUCUGGAUGUUUUAUGUGAGUGAUGUUGUAUAAGACUUGCAAUGGUCCUAUAAUAGAAAAGUUCAGGAAUAUGGAGAUUUAGAGAAAUUUCCCCAAAGUCACAUAGUGGAAACAGGACUUGAAGCUGGAUUCCUCAGGGCUUAGAUUAUUUAGAAUUUCUUUUCUUUUCUUCUUCUUUCCUCUCUUCUCUCUUGCCUGCCUUCCUUCUACACUUAUUUACAACAUUCUCCAUAUGCUAGGCACCAUGGAUGUCCCAGUGAACGAGACAGCAGAUAUAAGCUCUUUCUUGUCCCUCUUCCAUUGAGUCCUGUGACUCCCGGGUAUCACCUCAACCCUCUACAGUUUCUUCUGGAAUGUUCUAAUGCACAAAUGCAAGACAGACCCAAGAGUGAUGACAUUGAAGAUGAAUUAAAUUCAGGCCCUGGGCUCAUGCUUCCUUGGAUACAGACUUCAAAUCUCAUGGCUCAAAAACAUGCCAAACAAAUCUUAACCCACCCCUCCCCUGCUCCCAAACCUCCCACGGCCUGAGGCUCAGCUCAUAUCUCUGUGACAUGAGAAAUGGUCAAGGUCCAAGUGGAGGCUCUCUCUACGAGCUGAAUCACAUGGAAAGGAUGGGGCGAUCAUUUUCACAAGUACCUUUCUGUGCAUAAUGUGAAAUUCAUGGAUGGAUGGCAUCAUCUGGGCAUCCAGCCAGGGGAGGCAUUUCUCCAAACUGAAGGACAAGGUGAGAUGGAAAGACCAGCUCUCCUUGAAGGAUGCCCUCAAGUCACGCACAUACCCUGUUCAUUUGUGAACAGCACCCAGACCUUCCAUUUACCAUUGGUGCACGGGUGUAUAUAGUCAGGUAAGUUUGCACUUAGGUUAUGUGUGUAAACAUGUGCUGUGGGGUAGCAAUGGUUAAUUUUAGUGGACACAUUUAUUUUAAUAGUUUUGUAAAUUAUACCAGGAUUGUAUUUAUAGCAUCAUUAAGGAUCUGAAGGAGUCACUUAAAUGUUUAAGUUAUACUUUGCUGUGGUUUUAUGGGAAAUUUUAUAUGCUAUCAAAGGCAGAAAAGUGAUGGUGCUGGAUCGCACCUCCUUGUUCCCCCGCACCCUUCAUCCCCAAGUAUCUACAUGUUUAAAUGUAGAGCUGUAGACAGGGAGACUUCACCAGGAUGCUUCUAGUUUGUUGUUCUCUCAUUCACAGUUCGGGAGAUCAGAAAUCCAACAUCAAGGGGUUGGCAGGGUUGGUUCCUUGGAUGCUCUGAGAGAUUCCAUUCUGUGCGUCUCUCCUAGUUUCUGUGGCUCAACAACUCUUGGGUGCUCCUUGGCUUAUAGGUGCGUCCCUCCAAUCUCCACUUCUGUCUUCAUGUGGCUCUCCCCCAUGUCUGUGUCUCAAAUCCCUCUCUCUCUUUUCUCUUAUAAGAACACUAGUCAUUGGACUUAGGACCCAUCCUAAAUCCCAGAUGAUCUCCUCUUGAGAUUCUUACCUUAAUCACAUCUACAAAGACUCUGUUUCCAAGCAAGGUCACAUUCACAGACAUCAGGGGGUAGGACUUGGAUAUAUAUUUGGGUGGGGGACAUGAGACCAUUUACUACAGGAAGGAGAACUUAAAUCCUCGAGGAAGGGGGCUAAAACUAACAGGAAGGAUGAGGGGCUGAAUCAGAAUGGUAAGGGUAAGAAAUAAGGGAGGGGCCAGGGGACUGACUCUUAAGUGGUGAUGUUAGUGGAGUGUGUGUGAGCAGAGCUUCCGAAAUGAAAAGCUGAAGCAGACCACUUGUCUCAUGCCAGGAGUCAAGAAUUUGGUACCUACUGGCAUUUGUUGCUCUACCAGAGACAUUGUUAGGAGCAUGGGUGCUGCAGUCACACUGCCUGGUGCAAAUCCAGGCUGUAUGACUUGGGGCAAAUCACUCAAUGCCUAACUUAGGGUAGUAGGUUAGCUUUUUGUUACUGUAACAAAUAUCUUCUGAUAAGCAUCUUAUGAAGAGAAAAGAUUUGUUUGGAUUCACAGUUGUGCAGGAUUCAGUCCAUGGUUGAUUGGCCCUGUUGACUGUGGUGAGGCAGGACAUCAAGGUGGGGAAUGCGUGGUGGAGCAAGCUGCUCACUUCAUGGCAGCCACAGAGACCAGAAAAAGGGGUGCUGAGGUCCCAUAAUCUCUUUCAGGGUAUUCCUCCAAAAUGGCGCACUCAAGUGACUGAUGGCAGGAGGCCUCAGUUCCUCUUACAUGAACAUCUCUGGAGGCUGCUUGUGUGUCCUCAUGACAUGGAAGCUCUGGCAGUGAAUAAUAUGAGAGAGAGAGAGAGAGAGUCUGCAAAGCCCUUUUUUGCCUUGGAAGUCAGACACUGUCAGUUCUGCUGUAUUCUAUCUGUUACCAGCAAGGCACCAAGUGUUCAGGGAUAGGGGAAUGAAGUUUUGCCUCCUGAAAAAGAGUAUCACAUAAUUUGUGGAAAAAAGUUCACCACAAUUAGCUGCUAUUAAUUUUUAUAGCAAGAUCAGAAAAUACUGUGUUGCCCUCCGCUGGAAAUUGGUAUAUGAAAAAUGAAUAACAAGUGGGCGAAUGAACUGCAAAUGAUACAUCAUUCAAAAUUGAAAUAACUGUCUUUCAGAAGGGGAGAAUUUCAGGACCCACCGAAUGACAGCAUACCAUCCAUUUUCACAGUAGCAAACCACUCUGAUCCUCGAAAAGUUGUACCUCUCUGGUUCUGCCACUGGAGUCCAAGAAUCUGCAUUUAAAAGCUCAACACGUUAAUCUGAUGUGUGGCCAGGUUUGGAAAGUUCUGGCAUAGACAAAUGUUUUACCCUUCCUAUCUCUCUCUCUCUCUCUCUCUCUCUCUCUCCUCCCAAUUCUGUUUUGCUUGAUUUUCUAGUUUCCCAGCUUCCGUCACCAAAUAUGGCUCUUUUCAGACUGUACUCCUCGUCUGUUGGGCCUGGGAUCUCCAUGUGGAUUUUCAGCUUUGCUGACUUUCUUGUCUAGCUCCAAGGAAUCUCUCCCUAGCCCCAGGUGGACUUGGCUGGUCUCCACCCACCACCCUACCACCAGGGCUCCACUGUUCCUGAUCGUCUCCCUCCACACAAACACAGCUUCCAUUCUUGGCUAUUGAAUCCAUCCACCAGGUCUCCACCACCAGACCAAGCAGAGGAUGGGAAAAAUCAUUCCCAUACUUCAGACACUCAUUCAAGCAAAAAUGAUUUCCUCCCCUUGAAUGAUCCAGGUAAUUGUUUUCAUUCUUUGCUUUGCUUUGCCUCUGGGGGCCUGACCCAAGAGGUUCUGUGAGUCCCGUUAAAAUUUGGUCCCAGUAAUAAAUAUUUCUUAUCUAAUUGCCUUCUCCUUUGUUCCACAGGAGGUUGUUUUCGGAGGAGAGGAUCUGUAGGUAAACGAGAAGGAGCUUCAAUACUGAGCAACAUGAAGAUAAAAAUGAUGCUACCUCCAGUCCACUUUCUGGAAGGGACCCACUCUGUUUCGCUUCUCCCUGACACAUGCAUCAGCAAGGAGCAAAUUACCAUUUAUUAAACCCUAAUUAUCACUCCUGUUUUUCAAUACUGUUCUCUGUGUAUGUGCCCCUCCCCACCCCCAGGCCUGCACUUCACUGCCACUAAAUUAGCAAUACAUCUUGUUAGCAUAGCAUCCAUAUUUAUAGGCAGUGUUGACUGAUGCUGUAGUGACAUGGUACAAAGUCAAAGGCCUUUAAUAGAAGGUUAGGGACAUGUCCUGAUUCUGGAG
RNAcentral lists this long non-coding RNA (4472 nucleotides) under Marmota monax (woodchuck). Lineage: Eukaryota; Metazoa; Chordata; Mammalia; Rodentia; Sciuridae. The record is from RNAcentral.